This 325-nucleotide ribosomal RNA is filed under the name uncultured eukaryote. Its description in RNAcentral is "partial 18S ribosomal RNA". It matches the Rfam family "Eukaryotic small subunit ribosomal RNA", at positions 1470 to 1796 of the family's 1831-position model. The record is from RNAcentral.
CCCUUAGAUGUCCUGGGCCGCACGCGCGCUACACUGAUGCAUUCAACGAGUUUUACCUUGGCCGAGAGGCCUGGGCAAUCUUUUAAACCUGCAUCGUGAUAGGGAUAGAUUAUUGCAAUUAUUAAUCUUGAACGAGGAAUUCCUAGUAAACGCAAAUCAUCAAUUUGCAUUGAUUACGUCCCUGCCCUUCGUACACACCGCCCGUCGCACCUACCGAUUGAAUGGUCCGGUGAAGCCUCGGGAUUGUGGCCAGUUCACUUUAUUGGGAGUUGGCUGUGAGAACUUGUCUAAACCUUAUCAUUUAGAGGAAGGUGAAGUCGUAACA